Marmota monax (woodchuck) is the source of this 419-nucleotide long non-coding RNA. RefSeq lists it as uncharacterized. The record is from RefSeq and is a predicted model, not a curated record. The transcript is spliced from 3 exons. Lineage: Eukaryota; Metazoa; Chordata; Mammalia; Rodentia; Sciuridae.
UCUAUACUAAGAGUUCAUGCAUUCUGAUUUGGCAAAUAUCCUCCCCCUAUAACCUGACAGCUCUGCGCUUUGAUAAAGCUGUUGACCUUAACGUCUUACUUGUAUUUGUUCGUUAUACGUGGUGAGAAUGUUAGUAUAGAUGAAUAAAGGAACAGUUGUUUUUUGGUGUGUGUGUGUGUGUCUUUUAUUUUUAAAGCAUUUGAGCUCUGCCCCCACCCUCCACUUCCAUUCAUCACUUAGCAGAGGACCCAGGUGGCUUACCUGAAAAACUUGAAAUACAUACUGGAGUUUUCGGUGGACACAACAUCUUUGUUUUACGUGAUGCUGAGGAUCAAACCCAGUGCCCCGCGCAUGCCAGCAGAUGGCGCGCCUUCCAUCAAGGACCUCAAUGCACCUAACAAAUGCUCUGAGUCAUCAAA